This 64-nucleotide transfer RNA is filed under the name Siphonaria pectinata. RNAcentral describes it as "tRNA-Leu". The record is from RNAcentral. Lineage: Eukaryota; Metazoa; Mollusca; Gastropoda; Siphonariida; Siphonariidae.
AUUAACUUGGCAGAUAAAUGCCAUUGACUUAGGAUCAAUUUAUAAUGCUCAGCAUUAGUUAAUU